CACAUUCCAGAUGAUAUACAUUGGGAAGACAUCUGGCAGGUGGUCUCCAUCCUCCUGGUUCCCUGUAGGCAUCUGGAUGAAGGCAGGGGAGGAACAUUCAUCAGGACACAGACUAAGAUUGGAAAUUCAUUGAGAAGAGCAAAUUUUUUGACUUUAGACCUGUGGCAGGACAUCUCCCCUGGAAUGUCCAAGCAAACUAUGCCACGGCCUGGUGGGGUAAGGAAUAGGGAUGCAACACUGCAAAGAAGGGUCCAACAAGAUAGAAGGUCGGGGUACAAUGGCCACUUUAAAGGGAGGACUGGGACUUAUCUAGGGUUUGGCUGAGGGAAGUUUGGUAACCGGGGCAGAGCAUGAGAUGGACAGCUCAGGGUAUAACAGGAUAGGAGAACAAAGGGAAAGGAGGGAGGAACUUGGGAGGAGCUGGGAGUCAAGGACCAAUGGGAGCUCACUCCGCACUGCGGCACUUCUCAGCCAGUCAGUGUGGGAUGAGCGGGAAAGCAGGGGAGAGCAAGGGAGUAAACAACUUUUGGGCGGGAAAAACUGUGGGCAAGCCCAGGCAAGUUCUGGGUAAUACAUUUCAAGGGAACUAAUACAGAGAUAUAUGGGGAAAUACAUUAAAUGGGGUUCAGAACGGGGAUAUAAACGUGGAAGUCCAUAGGCUGUCAUCUCUUCAAGCACCAUACAGGUCCCUCCAUGCCUGGAAGCGUUGCCAUUCCGAUUCUUGUUCCUCCACAGCAAAUAAUGCCCUAUUUGCAAAUGUAUCAGUGCUGGGCUAAGAGGGGGUCCUGCUGGAAACCAGUCUGGGUUCAACCCUGAAUUAACAUCCUGAUGGUGAGGCAACCCCUGGAGUCCAAGGACUGUCAGUCCAUCACUUUAUUCUAUAAAGUUCCAGUCCCCUUUCACAGGGGCAGGUUCUUCCAACAUAACCCUUCUUGGGGUGUAUGAGUGGAGAUUCCCCCCUUGGCUGAGGGCCUCCCCAAGGUCAUUCCUUGAGGGUGAGAGCAGAGAUCUCCCCACGAGCGUUGGUCUGAGUGAGUCACAUCCAUCUCUAAUUAGUAACUAUUGCUUUUUUGCCAGCUUUAGUAUAAUUGCUUCAACAAUUGCUUUAGUGUAGUGCACUGUCCUAUCUUAUAGUAUACUACUCGUAGUUUUAGUAUUUGUAUUGUGUAGUAAAUAAUUCUGAUUAAAAUCUUUUGUCUGAUCAUCUGUGAUAAUGAAUAGUUCAUUUUAUAUCAAUAUAUCUGAUUUGCCAUCAUUAAAACCUGCAGGACAAAA
Corapipo altera (White-ruffed manakin) is the source of this 1275-nucleotide long non-coding RNA. RefSeq lists it as uncharacterized. The transcript is spliced from 2 exons. Lineage: Eukaryota; Metazoa; Chordata; Aves; Passeriformes; Pipridae. The record is from RefSeq and is a predicted model, not a curated record.